AUUCACGUAGUUUAUUUGAAAACACUUCAUUUUCAAUGAAGAAAAGAAUUUUAUUCCAUGAAUA
RNAcentral lists this transfer RNA (64 nucleotides) under Scipinia horrida. Its description in RNAcentral is "tRNA-Glu". It matches the Rfam family "tRNA". Rfam says of the family: Transfer RNA (tRNA) molecules are approximately 80 nucleotides in length. Their secondary structure includes four short double-helical elements and three loops (D, anti-codon, and T loops). The record is from RNAcentral. Lineage: Eukaryota; Metazoa; Arthropoda; Insecta; Hemiptera; Reduviidae.